CAGUCAAACAGGAGGUGGCCAAUUAGAGAGCAGCAGAGCAAGCUUUAUGGGCACACACAGAUCUAUGAUAAAGGGGAAAAAAAGAACUGAAGGAAUACAGAAGCAGUUGUCUUAUUUUAUGAGCUAUUCGGAAUCACUUAAUCAAGGGCACGGCAGACAGUAGCAGAAAGAGCAGAAGAAAGCUGUCUCCUUACCUGAAGUUUACAAAAAUUUAGUUAAAAGCUGGUUUGAAGUGAGCCAUCAUAACAACACUAGCCCAGUUCUGUCUUUCGACUCAAAACAUAUUUCAAAGCUAACAAGUUAUGAGACACUGUUGCAGGCACCAACGCCAUCUCAUCAAUAUGAAAAACUGGAUUGUAAGAACUGCCAGGAUGAAAGUACAGGAAAAAGCCAUGAAAUUUGGUAUUUGAAGAACAACAUCAAAAGACAGCAGCUUACCUAGAAAAACCCACAAUAAAUUUAAUAUUUUUAGAGUACUGUAUGUGGUAUAGGAAUAAUAUCCAAUGCUCAACUGUUACUUUCCCUGUGCUUUAAUAUGUGAAAUAGAAACAACUGUGUUAUUUAUUUACUCUUUUUCUAUUUCCACUUCCUACCUUUCAUUUACUGUUUGACUAGAAACUUGGUUUCUAGGGGCAUACCGUUAUGUAACAAAAUUUGAAAAUAAAAUUGUUUCUGGUUUAAACAUGUUA
Anolis carolinensis (green anole) is the source of this 689-nucleotide long non-coding RNA. RefSeq lists it as uncharacterized. The record is from RefSeq and is a predicted model, not a curated record. The transcript has 2 exons. NCBI's taxonomy places the organism in Eukaryota, Metazoa, Chordata, Lepidosauria, Squamata, Anolidae.